This 490-nucleotide ribosomal RNA is filed under the name uncultured bacterium. RNAcentral describes it as "partial 16S ribosomal RNA". It matches the Rfam family "Bacterial small subunit ribosomal RNA", at positions 30 to 507 of the family's 1533-position model. The record is from RNAcentral.
AUUGAACGCUGGCGGCAGGCCUAACACAUGCAAGUCGAACGGUAACAGGAAGAAGCUUGCUUCUUUGCUGACGAGUGGCGGACGUGUGAGUAAUGUCUGGGAAACUGCCUGAUGGAGGGGGAUAACUACUGGAAACGGUAGCUAAUACCGCAUAACGUCGCAAGACCAAAGAGGGGGACCUUCGGGCCUCUUGCCAUCGGAUGUGCCCAGAUGGGAUUAGCUAGUAGGUGGGGUAACGGCUCACCUAGGCGACGAUCCCUAGCUGGUCUGAGAGGAUGACCAGCCACACUGGAACUGAGACACGGUCCAGACUCCUACGGGAGGCAGCAGUGGGGAAUAUUGCACAAUGGGCGAAAGCCUGAUGCAGCCAUGCCGCGUGUAUGAAGAAGGCCUUCGGGUUGUAAAGUACUUUCAGCGGGGAGGAAGGGAGUAAAGUUAAUACCUUUGCUCAUUGACGUUACCCGCAGAAGAAGCACCGGCUAACUCCGUG